RNAcentral lists this unclassified non-coding RNA (329 nucleotides) under soil metagenome. RNAcentral's name for it is "partial contains 5.8S ribosomal RNA, internal transcribed spacer 2, and large subunit ribosomal RNA". The stretch from base 1 to 120 matches the Rfam family "5.8S ribosomal RNA", at positions 35 to 154 of the family's 154-position model. The record is from RNAcentral.
GAUGAAGAACGCAGCGAAAUGCGAUAAGUAAUGUGAAUUGCAGAAUUCAGUGAAUCAUCGAAUCUUUGAACGCACAUUGCGCCCCCUGGUAUUUCGGGGGGCAUGCCUGUCCGAGCGUCAUUACAACCCUCAAGCUCAGCUUGGUGUUGGGCCCCGCCGCCCCGGCGGGCCCUAAAGUCAGUGGCGGUGCCGUCCGGCUCCGAGCGUAGUAAUUCUUCUCGCUCUGGAGGUCCGGUCGUGUGCUCGCCAGCAACCCCCAAUUUUUUUCAGGUUGACCUCGGAUCAGGUAGGGAUACCCGCUGAACUUAAGCAUAUCAAUAAGCGGAGGA